UCCAGCCACAUGAGGUCUAGCAUUGUCUUGCAUUAGGAGGAACCCAGGGCCAACCGCACCAGCAUAUGGUCUCACAAGGGGUCUGAGGAUCUCAUCUCGGUACCUAAUGGCAGUCAGGCUACCUCUGGCGAGCACAUGGAGGGCUGUGCGGCCCCCCAAAGAAAUGCCACCCCACACCAUCACUGACCCACCGCCAAACCGGUCAUGCUAGAGGAUGUUGCAGGCAGCAGAACGUUCUCCACGGCGUCUCCAGACUGUCACGUCUGUCACAUGUGCUGUGUGAACCUGCUUUCAUCUGUGAAGAGCACAGGGCAUCAGUGGCGAAUUUGCCAAUCUUGGUGUUCUCUGGCAAAUGCCAAACGUCCUGCACGGUGUUGGGCUGUAAGCACAACCCCCACCUGUGGACGUCGGGCCCUCAUACCACCCUCAUGGAGUCUGUUUCUGACCGUUUGAGCAGACACAUGCACAUUUGUGGCCUGCUGGAGGUCAUUUUGCAGAGCUCUGGCAGUGCUCCUCCUGCUCCUCCUUGCACAAAGGCGGAGGUAGCGGUCCUGCUGCUGGGUUGUUGCCCUCCUACGGCCUCCUCCACGUCUCCUGAUGUACUGGCCUAUCUCCUGGUAGCGCCUCCAUGCUCUGGACACUACGCUGACAGACACAGCAAACCUUCUUGCCACAGCUCGCAUUGAUGUGCCAUCCUGGAUGAGCUGCACUACCUGAGCCACUUGUGUGGGUUGUAGACUCCGUCUCAUGCUACCACUAGAGUGAAAGCACCGCCAGCAUUCAAAAGUGACCAAAACAUCAGCCAGGAAGCAUAGGAACUGAGAAGUGGUCUAUGGUCACCACCUGCAGAACCACUCCUUUAUUGGGGGUGUCUUGCUAAUUGCCUAUAAUUUCCGCCUGUUGUCUAUUCCAUUUGCACAACAGCAUGUGAAAUUUAUUGUCAAUCAGUGUUGCUUCCUAAGUGGACAGUUUGAUUUCACAGAAGUGUGAUUGACUUGGAGUUACAUUGUGUUGUUUAAGUGUUCCCUUUUUUUUGGAGCAGUGUACAUUCCAUCAGGCAUGUCUAAUGUCUCACUUUUCCACUGUACAAAAAGUGCAGGGUUGGGGUCAAUUUAGGAACUACACUGUUCCAGUGUGGAGAAGACGUUUCAAUUUAACAGAGUGGAGUUGAGCCUGGUACAAGCCUACACUUCCCUGUCAAAGGGCGCCCUUAAGUGGUGAAGCUACAAAAUUACAAGAAAGAAACCCCAUCACCUCUAACAAUCACCUUUUUGAGUGAAUAGGCAAACAGAAUUUUGACAAAACUGGGGGACAGUUUAGAGUGUUUCUAAAAAUAUCCCUGGAAAAGAUACUGUGUACAGUCAUUGACAGUUUGCUUCUCCCCAAGGACUGAGAUGCCUGUCACCUACUAUACGUCAUUUCCUGUCACAAACUCCUGUCACAAUCUCGGAUACCUCCUGCGCCUCGACCUGUUGUUUCGGCCUGUAGUUUCUAACGUUUUUAUUUUAUUUUUUAUUUUGCGUCAAAGCCUGAUACCAACUAGUAUCGUGGAAAAUUACAUAAUUAGUCAUGCUAUCCCGUGUUUUAAAUAAUUGUCUCUUGUUAUAUGAUAGUGCCUCGCUUUUAGUCCUUAGGAAACUUUGCAUUAUUAUUUCUUACAUUGUUAGCCCAGUGUUAUUACAUACAGCCGGGAAGAAAUAUUGGAUAUCAGAGCGACGUCAACUUACCAGCACUACGACCAGGAAUACAACUUUCCCAAAGCGGAUCCUUUGUCCGCACCAUCCAGAGGCCGACCCAAAACAACGCAGCCGGAGAAGAGGGAGACGGAGCGAUCGUCUGGUCAGACUUCGAAGGCGCGCACACCACCCACCGCUUCCGAGUAUAUUACUCCCUAACGUCCCUAGAUAGCAAGGUCAACGAAAUCAGGGCAAGGGUUGCAUUCCAGAGAGACAUCAGAGAGACAUCAGGGAUUGUAACAUAUUCUGUUUCACGGAAACAUGGUUAUCUCGGGAUAUGCUGUCGGAGUCGGUACAUCCACCUGGAUUCUCAGUGCGUCACACCGACAGGAAUAAACAUCAUGAAGUGCUUUGAGAGACUAGUCAAUGAUCAUAUCACCUCCACCUUAUCUGUCACCCUAGACCCACUUCAAUUUGCUUACUGCCCCAAUUGGUCCACAGACGAUGCAAUCGCCAUCACACUGCAUACUGUCCUAUCCCAUCUGGACAAGAGGAAUACCUAUGUAAGAAUGCUGUUCAUUGACUAUAGAUCAGCAUUCAACACCAUAGUACCCUUCAAGCUCAUCAUUAAGCUUGAGGCCCUGGGUCUCAACCCCGCCCCGUGCAAUUGGGUCCUGGACUUCCUGACGUGACGCCCCCAGGUGGUGAAGGUAGGAAACACUUUGCUGAUCCUCAACACUGGGGCCCCACAAGGGUGUGUGCUUAGCCCCCUCCUGUACUCCCUGUUCACCCAUGCACGCCUCCAACUCAAUCAUCAAGUUUGCAAACGACACAACAGUAGUAGGCUUGGUUACCAACAACGACGAGACAGCCUACAGGGAGGUGAGGGCUCUCGGAGUGUGGUGUCAGGAAAAUAACCUCUCACUCAACGUCAACAAAACAAAGAAGAUGAUUGUGGACUUUAGGAAACAGUAGAGGGAGCACCCCCCCUAUCCACAUUGACGGAACAGCAGUGGAGAAGAUGGAAAGUUUUAAGUUCCUCGGCGUACACAUCACGUCCAAACUGAAAUGGUCCACCCACACAGACAGUGUGGUGAAGAAGACGCAACAGUGCUUCUUCAACCUCAGGAGGCUGAAGAAAUGUGUCUUGUCACCUAAAACCCUCACAAACUUUUACAGAUGCAAAAUUGAGAGCAUCCUGUCGGGCUGUAUCACUGCCUGGUACUGCAACUGCACCACCCACAAUCGCAGGGCUCUCCAAAGGGUGGUGCAGUCUGCACAAUGCAUCACCAGGGGCAAACUACCUGCCCUCCAGGACACCUACAGCACCCGAUGUCACAGGAAGGCCAAAAAGAUCAUCAAGGACAACAACCACCGAGCCACUGCCUGUUCACCUCACUACCAUCCAGAAAGCGAGGUCAGUACAGGUGCAUCAAAGCUGGGACGGAGAGACUGAAAAACAGAAAAAGCCAGUUAAACAGCCAUCACUAGCACAGAGAGGCUGCUGCCUACACUUUAAUAAAUGGAACACUGGUGACUUUAAUGACGCCACUUUAAUAAUGUUUACAUUUCUUGCAUUAAUCAUCUCAAAUGUAUAUACUGUAUUUUAUAUUAUCUAUUGCAUCUUAGCCUAUGCCGCUCUGUCAUUGCUCAUUCAUAUAUUCAUAUUUAUAUGAAUGUCCUUGGAGCAAAAACGUUGUGCUAUCCAGGAGCACCAGUACAAGACAUCAAUAAGCUGCUACCAAACAUUUUAAACCUGCAUCAGGAAAUUGAGUAUAUCAUAGUUCAUGUGGGAUUCAAUGACAUUAUGAAUGGCAGCUCAGAACAGCUGAAAAUGGAUUUUUGUGCCCUCCCUAAAUCGUGGCCUUGAAUGUUUCAGCAGACCUUCCAUAACUGGCUACGUGACUAUUGCAGCUCUGUGGGUGUAACAUUUAUUGACAACUUUUGUAAACGAAGCUUGUUUUAUAAGGAGGAUGGCAUCCCCCCAAAUCAUUUGGGUUCCUGGAUCCUUUCACAGCAUUAUAAGGCUGCUUUGAGACAAUGAGUUAUCAGUGACCCAAGCCCAGCUUAGUUAACCAUUGUGUCGCUGAGUUGUCAUAAUGCUUCAGCAAAUGUACAUUAUCCCAGGGGCGUUGGAAGACACAAUAGGACCUGAGCCCUAGGACCAUGCCUCAGGACUACCUGGCUUGAUGACUCCUUGCUGUCCCCAGUUCACCUGGCCGUGCUGCUGCUCCAGUUCCAACUGUUCUGCCUGCGGCUAUGGAACCCUGACCUGUUCACCGGACGUGCUACCUGUCCCAGACCUGCUGUUUUCAACUCUCUAGAGACAGCAGGAGCGGUAGAGAUACUCUCAAAGAUCGGCUAUGAAAAAGCCAACUGACACUCUUGUGUUACUGACUUGUUG
RNAcentral lists this long non-coding RNA (4080 nucleotides) under Salmo salar (Atlantic salmon). RNAcentral's name for it is "lncRNA (ENSSSAG00000090466.1)". The record is from RNAcentral. Lineage: Eukaryota; Metazoa; Chordata; Actinopteri; Salmoniformes; Salmonidae.